ACAGAAGAAGUAAAAUUGCCACAAAGUGAAUUGCUUGCCUAGCAUGCUGCAGGAAAAUCUCUAAUGUAAAAUUGUGGCUUAUGAAUGAUUAUUUGUCGCUGAACUCCAGGACACUGCCCUGUGGAAACGACGGACAUCUAAACUUGUUUGCUGCUGCUUUAGGAUUCGCUGACUGUUAACGCGACGGCACCUCUGCUGCUUCUUAAAGGUCACGCUGUCACAUAAUUCUGUUGCAGAGCCUCCCACACCGAAGGUGGAACGAUGAGGACUGCUCAGUAAUAAUCUGUCGUGUUCUACACUACUUUUAGAGACCUAUAUUGUCAUCAGCCCCUCUCUGGGGCUUUUCCAGUGAUCACUGUUGGCCUCAUCCAGAGAGACAGGUGCCUGGCACAGACAUGCCAACGUGACCACCUUUGCUGGAGUGACGAAUUCCACAACCUCUGAUGAAACAAGAAAUGAGUCACAACUGUCUUCAAAAAAAGAAGGAAUUGAAAAAUAAAUGAUAAAACA
Molecule: long non-coding RNA, 510 nt
Filed under: Heterocephalus glaber (naked mole-rat)
Lineage: Eukaryota; Metazoa; Chordata; Mammalia; Rodentia; Bathyergidae
Description: lncRNA (ENSHGLG00100042223.1)
Source: RNAcentral